GGAGAGAUGCCGGAGCGGUUGAACGGGCCGGUCUCGAAAACCGGUGUACGGCUUGGCCGUACCGUGGGUUCGAAUCCCACUCUCUCCGCCA
This 91-nucleotide transfer RNA is filed under the name Truepera sp. Its description in RNAcentral is "tRNA-Ser". It matches the Rfam family "tRNA". From Rfam's summary of the family: Transfer RNA (tRNA) molecules are approximately 80 nucleotides in length. Their secondary structure includes four short double-helical elements and three loops (D, anti-codon, and T loops). The record is from RNAcentral. Lineage: Bacteria; Thermotogati; Deinococcota; Deinococci; Trueperales; Trueperaceae.